UUGGAGAGUUUGAUCUUGGCUCAGGACGAACGCUGGCGGCGUGCCUAAUGCAUGCAAGUCGAGCGGCAGCAGACCUCUAUCUUCGGAUAGAGGUGCUGGCGAGCGGCGAACGGGUGAGUAACACGUGGGUAACCUCCCCCGAGGAAGGGGAUACCCCAUCGAAAGGUGGAUCAAUACCCUAUACCCUCCAGAGAGGCAACUCUCUGGAGAAAAGAUGGCACUCUGUGCUAUCGCCUCGGGAUGGGCUCACGGCCUAUCAGCUAGUUGGUGAGGUAAUGGCUCACCAAGGCUACGACGGGUAGCUGGCCUGAGAGGGUGGUCAGCCACAUUGGGACUGAGACACGGCCCAGACUCCUACGGGAGGCAGCAGCAGGGAAUCUUGGGCAAUGGGCGAAAGCCUGACCCAGCGACGCCGCGUGGGUGAUGAAGGCCUUCGGGUCGUAAAGCCCU
This 450-nucleotide ribosomal RNA is filed under the name Bacillota bacterium. RNAcentral's name for it is "bacterial SSU rRNA". It matches the Rfam family "Bacterial small subunit ribosomal RNA", at positions 1 to 434 of the family's 1533-position model. Lineage: Bacteria; Bacillati; Bacillota. The record is from RNAcentral.